GACGAACGCUGGCGGCGUGCUUAACACAUGCAAGUCGAACGGAAAGGCCCUGCUUUUGGGGGGUGCUCGAGUGGCGAACGGGUGAGUAACACGUGAGUAACCUGCCCUUGACUUUGGGAUAACUUCAGGAAACUGGGGCUAAUACCGGAUAGGAGCUCCUGCUGCAUGGUGGGGGUUGGAAAGUUUCGGCGGUUGGGGAUGGACUCGCGGCUUAUCAGCUGGUUGGUGGGGUAGUGGCUUACCAAGGCUUUGACGGGUAGCCGGCCUGAGAGGGUGACCGGCCACAUUGGGACUGAGAUACGGCCCAGACUCCUACGGGAGGCAGCAGUGGGGAAUAUUGCACAAUGGGCGGAAGCCUGAUGCAGCAACGCCGCGUGCGGGAUGACGGCCUUCGGGUUGUAAACCGCUUUCGCCUGUGACGAAGCGUGAGUGACGGUAAUGGGUAAAGAAGCACCGGCUAACUACGUG
This 468-nucleotide ribosomal RNA is filed under the name uncultured bacterium. RNAcentral describes it as "partial 16S ribosomal RNA". It matches the Rfam family "Bacterial small subunit ribosomal RNA", at positions 28 to 507 of the family's 1533-position model. The record is from RNAcentral.